CAGCACAUUUAGCCACAGGACAGCAGUCUGCAGGGGUGAGUACUGCUCAAUGAUAAAUGUGAAUUCACAGGCUGACACGAAACAAGGGACUGCAAACGUUACAGAGAAGGUGGUGAAAAUGUCAUUCAAAGAUUACAACAAAAUGCAGUUUAGUAAGGAUGCCUCACAAAAAACAGCAGAACCAAAUGCACCAAUGUAAGGUCCAGUCUAUGCAUCAGUACAUGUUGUUUGAUUUCUGAACAUUGGCAACUGGCAAGCUGACAGCGCAAUCUGUUCAGAAGUUCAGUAGGUCUUACUCCCAGGUACGUGGGUAUAGGAUUUGGAGCCUGAAUGUGUGAGCUAUUUCCACUGGAAAAGACAGAGUCAGGUGAUACAAAACUUCUCCCAGGUUGGAUUUUUUUACCCAUAUGAGUUAUCACUUGAUGUGGUGGUUGUCUAGUGAUGAACACACAUGCAAAAAUCAGCUCCAAGUUAGGGACAAAAACUUUAGGUAACAGUCUGCCCAAGGAAGAUUUACAGCAGAUGAGGGGAACCUUUGGGCCUCCAAAGGUUGCUGAACUACAGCUCCCAUAAUUCCUGCUUGCCGGGCUGAUGGGAGUUGCAGUUCAGCAAUAUCCAGAGGACUAGAGGUUCCCCACACCAGAUUUACAGCCUCUGUCUGUCUGUCUGUCUGUCUAGGAAGCCACUUUUGUUAUUGUUGGCAUCUGUCUGUCUCAAGAGACAGUGGAAGAGUGCACCGUUGCAGGAAAAGUCAAGCCAUUCUCCAAUGGGAGACCGAAACAGAAGAGACAUGUUUUAUUGCAGCUGGUGCAGAUCUUGGUGGCUUUUGUUCCUGGCAAUUGUAAGGAUGCAAAGUAUGGAAUGGCAGUCCAGCAAAGAGAAAUCUUGAUGCCAUGCUUCAGAAGUGGCUGCCUAAAGAGGUCCCCACCCCACUGCAUUGCUGUUUUAGGAACAGCAGGGAACCUGUGGCCCCCCAGGUGUUGUGGGACAACAACCCCUAUCAGUCCAAGCCAGAAUGGCCAGUGGGCAGGGACAAUGGGAGCUAUAGCCUACCAACUUCUCUGGAGGUCCAUGGGUCCUUCCCCACCCUAGCUUUAUGUGCUUGCUUUGGGACACCCCCACCCCCAAAGCUAUUCCUGAAUAUGGUGUGGAGCUGCUUUAAUAAUCGCAGCACAACUUUAAGGCCUCACUCAGAGCGGUGUGUUCCAGUCCGGGGACCUUGUGGUUCAGGAAAGAUGCUGACAGAGAGGAAAGGAGUCAGUGGAGAGAAAGGCUGGAGAUGAGAGUAAGAGCUGAUCUCCAUUGCAAAAGGAAGGAAGGAGGAAGAUGACCAAGUAAAAGAUCUUAGAGAUCCUAAGGAAUGCAUACAAGAAUGAGGGAGUUAUCUGUACUUCUUGACGUCUUUCCUGUACUGGCUCUGGCGUAGGUGUUUACAGCACUCCAUGCAUUUGAAGUGGGGUGUGUGUGGGAGUCUCCCUAUCUUAUCAGGUCCUGAAUAUGCAAGCCUGGCUCCAAAGGGUGCCUAGGUUGGGCAAGACCUGGCCCUGUCUUGUACCCAAAUAAGGGCAGACAGUGUAUAAGAACAUUGCGAUGUAACGUGUCCCAUCUUUUGCAAGCGAAGAGGGCCCACUGAGGAUGCCUUGCCUAACGUCUCCCAAAAUUUGGAGGCAGCAUUGCAAAGAUCCAUGGAGACUGAGAUCUCACCACCAGAUACUCAUCCUUUGCUCUAAAAGAGGAUGGAUUAUUUUGCUUUGUGUGCUUCUGUGUUAAUUAUGGGAGAAGGACUUUUGUCUUGCCAAGCACAGAGACAAUCUUCUCUCUGUAGUUUCUGCAUAGCCUGAUAACCGAAGGUGUUAUAGGGGCUGGUAGCUACUCCACCUGCCUAAGGGCCCCUCCAGAUGGGUCCUUCAUUGCGAGUGUCUUCUGCACCAUGCCCCUGAAAUAGUCAUAGUGCGCGAGUGGUGGAUUCAUUCCACUUUAGUGAGGGUUCUGCAAUGCUCCCCCAAGGCUACCAUAUUAUUGCUGUCCAGAAGAGAUGUGGUGCAACAAAUGUCUGUGGGGGAAUAAACCAGAACAUUUGUGGUAUAAAAAGAUAUGGCAAUUUCUUGAGAAGUUAUGGGAUAUACACUGGUUUGGUGUCAGGCGGCUGCCAGCAACUCCCAUGGCCCAGGAACGUACAAAGACGAGGAAUGUUCUCACCGUCCGCUUUUUAUUCAGUAUUUACAGAGAGAGGCUUUAGAACGCAGCCUCUUGGAUAGUGGCGUUGUCCCAAGUGACUCUCCACUUCCUCAUUCGUCAUCCUCAUCACCUCCUCUACGGAUGUCGCUAAGUGCCCUCUGUCUUUGAGCUCUUCGGGGGGGGGGGUCUGGAAUGCUUUCUAAAGACUGUCAGCCCCCUGGUGCUUCCUCCUCCUCCUCUGCCAUUAUUUCCCAGCUUUUCCCCUCAUCUGCCUCUCUCUCAACCCCCUGUUGUAAUCCUGAACUGUCUUCCUCUUCUCUGGAAGGGUCAGACUGGGGAGGUGGUCUGCACCAUUCCUCCUCUGCCCACUCCCUGACAUUUGGCCUGAAGCCAUGUGACCCCCCCGAUACAUUUGCAGACACAAACAGCAUUGGAAAUGGCAUGGAAACAUGCGAUGGCAUGUGGCUGCCCCAAAAGCAUCAUGAGCACAAAUCAUCACAAAGGUGCAAUAACAAGGAUGUCUGGAGGGGCCCCAAGCAGAGGCAGAAGGGGUUCAGCUGCGACAGAGAGAGAAAAUUGGAGGUUUGCAGGUGGCUGAAAAAAGGAAGCUGUUGCUUUUGAGGAACUGAUAAUUUGGCUGUUACAAUGGGCUGUCUGGAUGCCUGCUUGCUUCUUGGCACCCUCCCCACUCAAACACAGAUGCACAUAAAGAAAACUUGCGCAUUUGUAAAUAAAUAGAUAUUAUGAAAAUGCCACAAGUCUUCCGUGCAGGAAACGGACGCUGAAAAAGGCUGUGCCGUAAAACCUCUCACCAUUUGAGGAAGUGGGAAGUGCCAGGCAACUGUGUCAUCCUUUCUUUGUACAAAUUCAGCCCCAUCACUCAUCAUGAGUAAUACUAAUAAUGAAAAAACUCUGAAGUUUCCUUUUUUUUAAGGCAGUGCAACCAUACUUCACAAUCAUCACAUUGACACCCAAAGCAUUUUAAAGCAAGGGGAAGCUCUAGGAGGGUGACGAAAACCAAAUGACACUGUGCUUCCUAGGACAACCCCCCCAGCGCAGGCUGACAACAGCUUGUGCAUAAAAAGCAGGUUGUAAGAAUCUGGAGGCCACAAAACAGGAAGGAGCUGGCCUGUGAUUCAGGAGGGUCUGACAUAAUGCUUAGAUGCCAAACUCUGUAUUUAAGGACAAAGAGGGGCAAUGUGUUGGUCGCCCAACAGACCUUUGUGUCUAAGCCCCCAACAGACCCCUUUAUUUUUCUUCUGCACUUCUCUUAAGGACCCUCCAGACUGGGGUGGGUUUGGGGGCAGGCAGGCAGUGCCUUCUGCAACCUGGCGCUGGUGCAACAAUAGUGGACUAGCAGUGGAUUUACACUGGACUGUUCACACAUCCUUCUGCUUUAUCAAUUGUUCUGUGAUGCUUCCCAAACAUGAUUGCUUUACUGCUCUCUGGAGGGGCGCUACUAGUGCUAUAGCGCGCACACACACAAAAAUAAAGCAGAACAUUGCAGAAUAAAAAGUUACAGGAUUCCACAGGAAAUUAUGGAACAUGCACUGACUUGGAAGUAUUAUCUCUGCCCUGAAACUAAUGCAAGCACAAACAGUACUGAAAGUGGGAUCCUGUAUCCUCCCCCCUGAACUCCACCAAGAGCACAAAUAAUCACAAAUGCAUAUUAAAAAGUACCCUUGGUCUCCUGUCUAGGGAUUUGCAAAGAUGGCAGCAUCACAUCUCCUCUGUCUAUUCUCUUGGAGUGCCACGGGGGGUGGGGGGCAAAGUGAGGUGCCCAGGUUAGUGUGAAUGGGAUUGGAGCCUUAUCCAUGGUGUGGAGGGAAGUUUCCCCAAAGCUUCACCCAUCGGGAGUGAAAAAAAUGAAAUUACAGGACGUAAAGAGAAAAGUUCUACACUUUCAUGCUACAUUUUGCAGGCAAGAGUGCCCCAACUUUGCCUGUCUAUGUGUACAAGGAUUAUCAGAACAACUCUUUAAGGCAGAUCAGGGACACGGGUGGUGUUAUGGUCUAAACCACUGAGCUUUCUUGGUGGUUUGAAUCCCUGAAAAGGGGUGAGCUCCUGUUACUCUGUCCCAGUUCCUGCCAACCUAGCAGUGCAAGUAGAUAAAUAGGUACCACUGCGGCGGGAAGGUAAAUGAAGUUUCCGUGCACUUUGGCUUCUGUCACUGUGACCCGCUGUGCCAGAAGCGGUUUAAUCAUGCUGGCCACAUGACCUGGAAAGCUGUCUCUGGACAAACACUGGCUCCCUUGGCCUGAAAGUGAGAUGAGCGCUGCAUUGCUUCCUGCUUGGCAGGGGGUUGGACUCGAUGGCCCUUGUGGUCUCUUCCAACUCUUCUAUGAUUCUAUGAUCCCAUAGUUGCCUUUGACUGGACUUAACCAUCCAGGUCAUCAUAGUCAACAAAAGAGUGGCGGGAGCUGUACUGGGAUGCAAUCUCAAAAAUGAUAGAAUGAUCUCGAUACGAAUCCAAGGCAGACCUUUUAACAUCACAGUAAUCCAAGUUUAUGCACCAACCACUGGUGCUGAAGAAACUGAAAUUGGCCAAUUCUAUGAAGACUUACAACACCUUAUAGAAGUGACACCAAAGAAGGAUGUUCUUCUCAUUAUAGGGGAUUGGAAUGCUAAAGUAGGGAGUCAAGAGACAAAAGGAACAACUGGCAAGUUUGGCCUUGGAGUUCAAAAUGAAGCAGGGCAAAGGCUAAUAGAGUUCUGCCAAGAGAACAAGCUGGUCAUCACAAACACUCCUUUCCAACAACACAAGAGACGACUCUACACAUGGACAUCACCAGAUGGGCAGCAUCGAAAUCAGAUUGAUUAUAUUCUCUGCAGCCAAAGAUGGAGAAGCUCUAUACAGUCAGCAAAAACAAGACCUGGAGCUGACUGUGGCUCAGAUCAGCAGCUUCUUAUAGCAAAAUUCAAGCUUAAACUGAAGAAAGUAGGAAAAACUACUGGGCCGGUAAGAUACAAUCUAAGUCAAAUCCCUUAUGAAUACACAGUGAGGAACAGGUUUAAGGAUUUAGAUUUGGUGGACAGAGUGCCUGAAGAACUAUGGAUGGAGGCUCGUAACAUUAUACAGGAGGCAGCAACGAAAACCAUCCCAAUGAAAAGGAAAUGCAAGAAAGCAAAGCGGCUGUCCAACGAGGCCUUACAAAUAGUGGGGGAGAGAAGGCAAGCAAAAUGCGAGGGAGAUAGUGAAAGAUACAGGAAAUUGAAUGCAGAAUUCCAAAAAAUAGCAAGGAGAGACAAGAAGGCCUUCUUAAAUGAGCAAUGCAAAGAAAUAGAGGAAAACAAUAGAAUGGGGGAAACCAGAGAUCUGUUCAAGAAAAUUGGAGAUAUGAAAGGAACAUUUUGUACAAAGAUUACCAUAAUAAAAGACAAAAAUGGAAAGGACCUAACAGAAGCAGAAGACAUCAAGAGGAGGUGGCAACAAUACACAGAGGAAUUAUACCAGAAAGAUAUGGAUGGCUCGUACACCCCAGGUAGUGUGGUUGCUGACCUUGAGCCAGACAUCUUGGAGAGUGAAGUCAAAUGGGCCUUAGAAAGCACUGCUAAUAACAAGGCCAGUGGAAGUGAUGAUAUUCCAACUGAACUAUUUAAAAUGUUAAACGAUGAUGCUGUUAAGGUGCUAUACUCAAUAUGCCAGCAAAUUUGGAAAACUCAGCAGUGGCCAGAGGACUGGAGAAGAUCAGUCUACAUCCCAAUCCCAAAGAAGGGCAGUGCCAAAGAAUGCUCCAACUACCGCACAAUUGCACUCAUUUCACACGCUAGCAAGGUUAUGCUUAAAAUUCUACAAGGCAGGCUUAAGCAGUAUGUGGACCAAGAACUCCCAGAAGUGCAAGCUGGAUUUCGAAGGGGCAGAGGAACCAGAGACCAAAUUGCAAACAUGCGCUGGAUUAUGGAGAAAGCUAGAGAGUUCCAGAAAGACAUCUACUUCUGCUUCAUUGACUAUGCAAAAGCCUUUGACUGUGUCGACCACAGCAAACUAUGGCAAGUUCUUAAAGAAAUGGGAGUGCCUGAUCACCUCAUCUGUCUCCUGAGAAAUCUCUAUGUGGGACAAGAAGCUACAGCUAGAACUGGAUAUGGAACAACUGAUUGGUUCAAAAUUGGGAAAGGAGUACGACAAGGCUGUAUAUUGUCUCCCUGCUCAUUUAACUUAUAUGCAGAAUUCAUCGUGCGAAAGGCUGGGCUGGAUGAAUCCCAAGACGGAAUUAAGAUCGCCGGAAGAAAUAUCAACAACCUCAGAUAUGCAGAUUACACAACCUUGAUGGCAGAAAGUGAGGAGGAAUUAAAGAACCUUUUAAUGAGGGUGACAGAGGAGAGCGCAAAAUAUGGUCUGAAGCUCAACAUCAAAAAAACUAAGAUCAUGGCCACUGGGCCCAUCACCUCCUGGCAAAUAGAAGGGGAAGAAAUGGAAGCAGUGAGAGAUUUUACCUUCUUGGGCUCCAUGAUAACUGCAGAUGGUGACAGCAGUCACGAAAUUAAAAGACGCCUGCUCCUUGGGAGAAAGGCGAUGGCAAACCUAGACAACAUCUUAAAAAGCAGAGACAUCACCCUGCCAACAAAGGUCCAUAUAGUUAAAGCCAUGGUUUUCCCGGUAGUGAUGUAUGGAAGUGAGAGCUGGACCAUAAAGAAGGCUGAUCGCCAAAGAAUUGAUGCUUUUGAAUUAUGGUGCUGGAGGAGACUCUUGAGAGUCCCAUGGACUGCAAGAAGAUCAAACGCAUCCAUUCUUAAGGAAAUCAGCCCUGAGUGCUCACUGGAAGGACAGAUCAUGAAGCUGAGGCUCCAAGACUUUGGCCACCUCAUGAGAAGAGAAGAUUCCCUGGAAAUGACCCUGAUGUUGGGAAGGAUUGAGGGCACAAGGAGAAGGGGGCGACAGAGGACGAGAUGGUUGGACAGUGUUCUCGAGGCUACGAACAUGAGUCUGGCCAGGCUGCGAGAGGCAGUGGAAGACAGGAGUGCCUGGCGUGCUCUGGUCCAUGGGGUCACGAAGAGUCGGACACGACUAAACGACUAAACAACAACAACAACCAUCCAGGGGUGCUUUACCUUUACCUUUACCUAAGGGAGAUCAGUAUUAACAGCCCCGCCCAUACUGAAGCUUUGGGGAGGGGAGAAUGAAGAAGAAGAAGAAGAGUUUGGAUUUGAUAUCCCGCCUUUCACUCCCUUCAGGAGUCUCAAAGCGGCUAACAUUCUCCUUUCCCUUCCUCCCCCACAACAAACACUCUGUGAGGUGAGUGGGGCUGAGAGACUUCAAAGAAGUGUGACUGGCCCAAGGUCACCCAGCAGCUGCAUGUGGAGGAGCGGAGACUCAAACCCGGUUGCCCAGAUUACGAGACUACCGCUCUUAACCACUACACCACACUGGCUCUCAGUGAGAGGCCCAGUUGCUUGAGGCCUUCUAAGAAGUUCAUGGCUUAGGUGAUCUUCAGACCUGCUCUGCAGCACAGCCUCUUAUUCCCAACUCUCCAUCAGCUCCCUAGGACAGUAUCAAAUUUAUAGGUAACAAGGCCUCUGAAUUUUAUUAAUUCUGACUUCAGGAAUACCCUGGCCUAAAGGCUGCACUGUCACCAAAUUUUGAAGCAGAAGGGUCAUCAGCAUGAAACCCGUUUGCACAUUUCCAUGACUUACAUUUUUAUUUUUUAUUUUUACUGCAAUACAUGCAGCAGAAAGGCAGGAUCAGCUGCAACUUUCAACGGUCUGUAUAAAAUAAAUACUGGAAUGGGGGAAAAGGUGAGAUCCUAUCAGAUGGAGCUCUCUUGUAUCUGGAUUUUGUCUCACGUGCAGCCCCAGAACAAGCCCUGCUGAAAUAGAAGGUCUGAGUGACAUGCCAGCAGGCCGGCCAGCGGGGGGGGGGGGCGGGGGUGCUGUGUGACCUGCCAGUGGCCCUUCAGUAGGGUUGGGUGAAUCUAUCCAUUUCAGUUUCCCCCAGCUUCUUAGAAUCAUAGAAUCAUAGAGUUGGAAUAGACCACAAGGGCCAUCGAGUCCAACCCCCUGCCAAGCAGGAAACACCAUCAGAGCACUCCUGACAUAUGGUUGUCAAGCCUCUGCUUAAAGACCUCCAAAGAAGGAGACUCCACCACACUCCUUGGCAGCAAAUUCCACUGUCAAACAGCUCUUACUGUCAGGAAGUUCUUCCUAAUGUUUAGGUGGAAUCUUCUUUCUUGUAGUUUGGAUCCAUUGCUCCGUGUCCGCUUCUCUGGAGCAGCAGAAAACAACCUUUCUCCCUCCUCUAUAUGACAUCCUUUUAUAUAUUUGAACAUAUAUUUGAACAUAGAUCCUUUUCACAUGUACUGCUCUCAAGCCAGGUGUCACCCAUCUUGUAUUUGUGCCUCUCAUUUUUUUUGCCCAAGUGCAAUACUUUACAUUUCUCCCUGUUAAAAUUCAUCUUGUUUGUUUUGGCCCAGUUCUCUAAUCUGUCAAGGUCGUUUUGAAGUGUGAUCCUGUCCUCUGGGGUGUUAGCCACCCCUCCCAGUUUGGUGUCAUCUGCAAAUUUGAUCAGGAUGCCCUUGAGUCCAUCAUCCAAGUCGUUGAUAAAGAUGUUGAAUAAGACCUGGCCCAAGACAGAACCCUGUGGCACCCCACUAGUCACUCUUCUCCAGGAUGAAGAGGAACCAUUGAUGAGCACCCUUUGGGUUCGGUCAGUCAGCCAGUUACAAAUCCACUGAGUGGUAGCAUAGUCAAGACCGCAUUUUACCAGCUUCUUUACAAGAAUAUCAUGGGGCACCUUGUCAAAUGCCUUGCUGAAAUCAAGGUAGGCUACAUCCACUGCGUUCCCUUCAUCUACCAGGCUUGUAAUUCUGUCCAAAAACGAGAUCAGGUUAGUCUGACAUGACUUAUUUUUCAGAAAUCCAUGCUGACUAUUGGUGAUCACAGCAUUCCUUUCUAGGUGCUCACAGACUGUUUGCUUAAUGAUCUGCUCCAGAAUCUUCCCUGGUAUUGAUGUCAGACUGACUGGGCGGUAAUUAUUUGGGUCCUCUCUUUUCCCCUUUUUGAAAAUAGGGACAACAUUUGCCCUCCUCCAGUCUGCCGGGACUUCGCCUGUACUCCAGGAAUUCUCAAAGAUGACUGCCAGUGGUUCUGAGAUCACAUCUGCCAGUUCUUUUAAUACUCUUGGAUGCAGUUCAUCUGGCCCUGGAGACUUGAAUACAUCUAAACUAGCCAAGUAUUCUUGUACUAUCUCCUUAGUUAUUCUGGGCUGUGUUUCCUCUGCUGAAUCAUUUGCUCCAAAUUCUUCAGGUCGGGCAUUGUUUUCUUUAUCGGAGAAGACUGAGGCAAAGAAGGCAUUGAGGAGUUCAGCCCUUUCUGUGUCCCCUGUUUGCAUUUCACCAUCUUCUCCUCUGAGUGACCCCACUGUUUCUUUGUUCUUCCUUUUGCUACGAACAUACCCAUAAAAGCCUUUUUGUUGCUUUUAACCUCUCUAGCAAGCCUGAGUUCAUUCUGUGCUUUAGCUUUUCUGACUUUGUGUCUACACGUGCUGGCUAUUUGUUUGAAUUCCUCUUUGGUGGUUUCCCCCCUUUUCCAUUUUUUGUACACAUCCUUUUUAAUCUUAACUCAGUUAAAAGUUCUUUAGAUAGCCACCCUGGCUUCUUUAGGCACCUUCCAUGUUUCCGUCUCAUUGGUAUUGCCUGAAGUUGUGCUUUUACUAUCUCCCUCUUAACAAACUCCCAGCCAUCAUGAACUCCCUUUCCUUUUAGUAUUACUGUCCAUGGGAUCUCACCCAGCACUUCCCUAAGUUUUAUGAAGUCGGCUUUCUUAAAGUCAAGAAAUUGAGUCCUAGUAUGCUUGGCUGCUCCUUUCCGCUGUAUAGUAAACUUCAGAAGAGCAUGAUCACUCGCGCCUAAUGAUCCUUCCACUUCACAGUCUCCCUCUAGGGGGAAACUGUAACCAACUCCUGGGAGCUGGCAGCUGUUACAGAUUACAAUCGUGGGAAUAGUCAUCUGACCUUCAGGACAAUGUAUUCAGAAGCUCUGUUGUGUGCUUUCUAUAAAAUAAAUGCCCUACUGGAACAGCUACAUGAGAAAACGAAUUUGAUGGCUGAUUCGAUUAGAAAUUUUGAACAGGCAGUGGGAAAUUUUGAACAGGCAGUGGGAAAAUAUGUGGAGCCCACCCAGGAAUUAAAUCAGGAGUGUGGCCUGACAGAACAGGCCCAACAGGAAUAUGAACUUUCGGAUUUGACAAAUGAACUUGGAAAAAGCCAGAUUUGGAAAGGAAAAGUUUGGUUUGGUUUGGAAAUGGGGGGUUGGAUAGACCCUCCUAUGCAGGGAUGUUUGGACUUUUCAAGUCUGGCAAUGGGCCGUGAGAUGUUUGGGAUUGUGGGGGCUCUCAAUUUUGGAGGGAUUUUGAAACAUGUUUUUAAAUACCACAUGGAAUUUAGUGUCGAUUAUGGAAAAGGGGCUGAUCUGUCGAGAAGGGUCAAAAAUAUUGCUAAGCUGGAGUUCCCACGAGUGAAACGAGCAGGAGAUAAGGGAAAAUACAGUUACAAAUAUGAAGAAGAGCUGCGGAAGGGACAUGGAAGAGACUUAAGGGCCUCGGAUAUUAGGAUACCAGGUUAAUGUGCCAGAUUGAUGGGAUAACAAGGACUGACAAAACCCGGGACCAGAAGGAAGGGACGCUGGAUGAAGAUUGGAUUUGUUUUUAUUUCUCUUUUUCACUACUAGGACUGUUUUACAAAAUUGAUGAAUGUUAGAAAAAUGUUGGAAUGAAGUUACUUGGCUUUAGUAAAAAUGUUUAAAGAAUUAUGCAAAAAUAUUAUGGUUAUGAGAAGUUGGUAAAAAUAAGAUUUAAGUUUUAAGUUUCAAGGUUUUUAUAGUAAGAUAAGAUUAAAAUAGUUUAAGGUAAUGUAAUGACAGAAUAUUAUGAAAUAUGGAAAGGAUUUGCUGUGACAAUUAAUAACCAGGAUACAAGGAAGGGGAGGAGGAGGAGGUCAAGGAAAGAGGGCAAUGAUAGUUGAGGAGUUGAGAAUAAUGGAUUUGUUUUUAAAUGUUUUUAAAUGUUUGUGGUGUUUUGUUUUGUUUUUCUCUCUUAUUUUGAAUUUGUAUAUGUAUGGUUGGAAGUGGCUUGUUUUUCUCUUUUUCUACUUUGUUUUUCUUUUGCAACUUAAAAAAUUUUUUUUUUCAAUAAAUAUCAUUUUAAAAAAAAAAAGAUCCUUCCACUUCUACCCCACUAACCAGGUCAUCAACAUUGGUUAGGACCAGAUCUAAAAUGGCUGUUCCUCUUGUUGCUUCUCCCACUUUCUGGACAAUGAAGUUGUCUGCAAGGCCAGUGAGGAAUCUGUUUGACCUUAUGCUCUUGGCUGAGUUUGACAUCCAACAAAUAUCCGAGUAAUUGAAGUCCCCCAUUACUACUAUCUCCCUUCCUUUUGCAUGCUUGGCCAUCUGUUCCAGGAAGGCAUCAUCUAUGUCCUCCGUUUGACUUGGGGAUCUAUAGUAAACUCCCACAAUGAGGUCACUGUUAUUCUUCUCUCCCUUAAUUUUGACCCAAAUGCUCUCACUUUGGCUUUGAGGUUCUAAAUCUUGGAUCUCUUCACAGGUAUACACAUCCCUGACAUAUAACGCCACUCCUCCUCCUUUCUUGUCUGGUCUGUUUCUCUGAAAUAGAUUGUAUCCCUCCAUUGUUACAUUCCAGUUGUGGGACUUAUCCCACCAGGUUUCAGUGAUGCCUAUUAUGUCAUAUUUAGUUUGCUGUACCAAGAGCUCAAGCUCAUCUUGUUUAUUUCCCAUGCUUUGCGCAUUAGUGUACAGAAAUUGAAGUCCAUUAAUCAUUCCCCCGUGACUCUUAUUUAAGGAUUUUUUCCUCCCACCACUAGGUCUGCGUGCUGUUUGCUCCAUUUGGUCUAUGACAUUUGGAUGAUCAUCUUCAUCAAUUGAUAGACUCCUACCUUCAGGAGCACUGUCUCCCUCCCCACAUUAGUCAGUUUAAAGCCCUCCUGAUGAGGUUUCUGAGAUUUUUGGCAAAAACAUUCCUCCCAACCGUUGUGAGGUGCAGCCCAUCGCUUGCCAGAAGUCCAUCUUCAAGAAACUGCAGUCCGUGAUCUAAGAAUCCAAACCGUUCCUGUUUACACCAUUUGCGAAACCAGCUGUUCACUUCCACUAUUUUCCCCUCUCUCCCUGGGCCACGUCGUUCAACUGGGAGGACAGAUGAGAUGACAAUUUGUGCAUUUAAUUGCUUCAACUUCCUGCCCAGAGCCUCGUAGUCUCUUUUGAUCUGCUGGAGGCUAUUGCUUGCAGUGUCAUUGGUUCCCACAUGAACCAAGAGGAGGGGGUAUUUGUCAGUGGGUUUUAUGAUUCCUUGCAGUCGUUCAGUUACAUCUUGGAUCUUAGCCCCGGGGAGACAGCACACUUCCUGAGACAUCUUGUCAGGCCCACAGAUCACUGCUUCUGUUCCCCUCAGUAGGGAAUCCCCUAUCACCACUACACGCCUCCUCUUAGGUUUGGUCGGGGUUCUUCCGUGAGCUGUCCGUUCCAAGGUCGCCUGCACAUUCCCUGAGGACUGACUUUGCUGCUCAUCUUCAUAUACCUGAUCGACUGUAAUGAGGGAGAGAUCCUCAAAUGGAGUCUGCUCUUCGUCUUCCAUGCUAGGGGAGAGGACCUCAAAGCGAUUGUGUAUUUCUAAACAAUCAGAGGGAACCCUGGGCCUCCUACUUCUUUGAGUCACGUUUCUCCAUAUAUCUGGCUCCUGUGUUGGUGAACUAGCCUCCUUCUCAGGGGAGUCCCCUGUCUCCUCCUUGGUGGAGACGGUGUGCUCUGUUGCUUCCAAGAAGAGCUCCAGCUCUCUAAUUCUUUGGAGCGUAGCUACACGUUCCUCCAGUUGCUGGACUUUGUCUUUUAAGAGGGCAAUCAACAUGCAAUUGCUGCAGGUAAAGCUGCCUGCAACCUUUGGCAAGAUGGCAAACAUUGCGCAGGAACCGCAGGUGACUGCAGCUGUUCCCUCCCCCUCCAUCUUGAGAACGUGUCGUUGGGGGUGGCUACAGCGGUCCUCCAUCAUAAAAAGCGUGAAGACAGGACAAAUAACUCCCCCCCCAAAAAACCUAGGUCUCCCCCAACAAACAUUUGAGACUAGCUCCCCUAAAUCUAAAAGAUGGAUCAAACUGCACGUGCCGCUAGGCGCGCGCCGCUGCCCUGCAAGCUCUGAUAAGCUCCUCCCACAGCUAAUCACCUGCCUCAACAGAAACCCUGCCCCCUCUGACCUUUGCACAGGGAGAGCAGCUAAUCAGCCACAAAGAAACACACACACAAGAAAACCCUUUUUGCACCUUCUUCAGCUGCUGCCGUGCAAGCUCCUUCUUAUCUUUCCAGGCUGCAGUUCAGCUCCCCACACUUCCACACCAGUGUAAUAUAUAUAUUACAGUGUUUUCUUCUGGGGGUACUCAAGGGCACUGUAACAACUUCAUGGUCAGAACCGGUGCCUUCUCUCUCUCUCUCUCUCUCUCUCUCCCUCUCUCUGUGCGAUGUAAAAAUUCAUCAGCAUCUUAAUGCGAAUUUCCCUUAAUGUAUAUAUUUAUAUAUAUAUUGAAUUCUGCCCAAUACACAAUUUUUUGCGAGGGAAUUUUCCUAAUAUUAUAUGCAUUUACACAAACUGUAUUGUAUUAUCAUUUCAUUAAAAAAAUCAUUUCAUUAUAUGUGUUUAUAUGCAGGUUUAACCCUAAUAUAUGCAUCCCUAAUACUCAGUAGCAAACCUCAGUUUGUUGAGUAAUGUGUGAGAAGUCCCAGGGAGGUGCAGCAAAGCCUGGCUGACAGACAAAGCUUCCCUGCCUAGCUUCCAAAUGCAUUUCUCAUCAUCCAUACCUGGAAAUGGCUGUGCACCUAAAACCCCUUGUGUGAACUACCCCAAUGCUCGUUUCAACUGAGCAGCUCAGCAACAUGAGGUCACUUUCACUUGCUGAUGGCAAAGCCAGAUAACUGACAGUUAAGAUUGAAAGUGAACUAUGUCUAACCAUUUUAAACUGAUUUCAACACUGGUACUGAGCUGACAGGUCAAUAAAACAUGAAAGUAAAAGAUGAGUUGUUGUUCUGAGCCUGCUAAUUAGAGCAAAAUCGUAGGUUGUAUUCAGUGCUAGUCCUACUCAGCACAGCACCAUUGAAAUUAAUGAGCCUCUAAGUUAGUCAUGUCCAUUAACUUCAAUGGGUCUACUCUGAGUAGGACUAGCAGUGAAAACCACCCAAUAGAUGGAAUUCAGCAUUGCACUAUGGUGAACAUUUCAUCUGUGCAAGCGUUUCUGUAUGCCAGAUGGAAGAGCCCCUCUUUCUUCCUCCCCUGCCCUGUUCUGGGGGUUCUCACAACCCCCACAAACCAAUUUCAGGGGGGAAGAGGGGGGAAUCCCCAUUGCGCAAGUGGAAGUCCUUGCUCAGAGCUUCCACUGACAGGGGUCAUUAGAUGAAUCCCGCUCAGCUCAGACCUAAAAACAUGGCGCUUCUGCAAGCAAGCAAUUAAAAUGCAGGCACGGCCCCCAAUGUGACAUCCCCAACUAGGGUGCAGUAGGGUGUGGUAGUGGAUUGAACCGGGGGUAGGGGGUGGGGCUUCAACAAAGCACUUGGUGUCAGUCCUCCAUUUGUAAAAUGGGGGCAUUAAUGGCGUCUCUCCCUGAGUGAUUAGAGAUGUCGGAGAUAAUCACUGUGACGACCUCUGCAUUCCUAUCCAAAAAUUGGCUUCACAAUGUUUAUUACGGUAAUGAGAUUGAGCUGGUGCCACAAGCCAACCUGGAAACACAUGAGAAUGGGCCAGCAGAGCCACCUCCACAAAGCCGUUGGGAUUAGGAUGGCCUUUAAAAUGGAGCAAAGGAAUGAGCAAAAUAAGCAGAGUGUUGCACACUCAGGAACUGGCCAAGAAAGAGGUGGUGGCACGGCAGGUGUGGGAUGGCAGAGGCUGGGUCAUCUAUGCACCAUCACACAGGUAUUUGUCAGAGACCAGGCUGACGAGUACUGCUCUGAUGAAGAACGGUGGGAGCCUCCCCCUCUCUCUGCUCCUGGCCAGGAUCCUCAAGCUGCACAGGAGCAGGAGAGCAGUAUUGAUUUGGAACAAUGGUUUGCUGUGGGACACAGUCUGGAAGACAACAGUUGGGAAGAACUGGGGGGGGGGGAGACAGCUAGAAGAGGAAGAAGAAGUGGAUGCUCUCUGGAAAGCAUCCAGCCUCUUAGUCCAAGGGCAAGGAGAUUAGAUAAGGUGGCUGAACAGAAGGCCAGGUGGCGGAGAGAUCAAGUUGCAAGGGGUGGAAGUGACCGGAGUAACUAGGGGGGAAGUGGGUGUGAACGUUAAUUGGGAACACUGUCAUUCCGAAAAUGGUUGCUUUGUUCAAGACCUGUGAUGAGCAUGAUUCCUGAAACCUGUAUCUCCACUAUCACAUGUCAUAAAUGGUCUAUUUCACCCCCGUAAAUGCUGGCUAGAUCCUAAGCCUUGGCAUUUGGUAUGUCACACAUGGUGCACAAAUCAUUGCCUGCCAGAAACAACAAGCGUAGCUCAGAUCUAGAACAGAAACAAAAUGCUAACAGUGUUUGAAAUUUGAUGAAUUAUUCAGAUCUUAAAAUGGAGGUUUUGGUUUCAAGAUUUGGUAUCAAAAUUUAACAGUCAUGUUUCAAAAUAAAUGGCUCUCGUACAAAAUACAGCAGUCAACUAUUUGAGGAUUUUUACCAAGCCAGAAUUAAGAUUGCCGGAAGAAAUAUCAACAACCUCAGAUAUACAGAUGACACAACUUUGAUGGCAGAAAGUGAGGAGGAAUUAAAGAACAUCUUAAUGAGGGUGAAAGAGGGGAGCACAAAAUAUGGUCUGAAGCUCAACAUCAAAAAAACCAAGAUCAUGGCCACUGGUCCCAUCACCUCUUGGCAAAUAGAAGGGGAAGAAAUGGAGGCAGUGAGAGAUUUUACUUUCUUGGGCUCCAUGAUCACUGCAGAUGGUGACAGCAGCCACAAAAUUAAAAGACGCCUGCUUCUUGGGAGAAAAGCAAUGACAAACCUAGACAGCAUCUUAAAAAGCAGAGACAUCACCUUGCCAACAAAGGUCCGUAUAGUAAAAGCUAUGGUUUUCCCAGUAGUGAUGUAUGGAAGUGAGAGCUGGACCAUAAAGAAGGCUGAUUGCCAAAGAAUUGAUGCUUUUGAAUUAUAGUGCUGGAGGAGACUCUGGAGAGUCCCAUGGACUGCAAGAUGAUCAAACCUCUCCAUUCUGAAGGAAAUCAGCCCUGAGUGCUCACUGGAAGGACAGAUCCUGAAGCUGAGGCUCCAAUACUUUGGCCACCUCAUGAGAAGAGAAGACUCCCUGGAAAAGACCCUGAUGCUGGGAAAGAUGGAGGGCACAAGGAGAAGGGGACGACAGAGGACGAGAUGGUUGGACAGUGUUCUCGAAGCUACCAGCAUGAGUCUGACCAAACUGCAGGAGGCAGUGCCUGGCGUGCUCUGGUCCAGGGGGUCAUGAAGAGUCGGACACGACUAAACGACUAAACAACAACAAACAACAACCAGUUCAAGAUAAUGUUUUCCUGCUUGGAUGCAUGAAUGAAGGACUGAAUAAAGGAUGGAUGAGGUUUGUACAAAAUGCACUGAAAGCAACUGUAAGUGCUCAUUCACCCUUCCUCUGGUCCUGCUGCUUCUCCUGGGGAAAACCAUUCUUAGCACUCAGUUGGAACAAAUGGCAAUUCGGGUUUUCUCCAGAUUGACGUUUGCUCCCAUUUAGCACUAAAGAGUGGGCUUUCCCUGGGGAAGGAGUGGGGCAAGGGGGAACCUGCUCAGACCCUGUGCCUAGAAAACACAGGAAAAGCAGAGUGUGUACGGGCCCCAUGUCAGCUGUCACAUACUGGUAAAUACUGACCACCACUGCCUGGCACUGGUGAUAAACCAGAUUGCUGAUCAAUGUCAAAUCCUAAUAUUGAAUACAAAAUAAUAGCUGGUUGCCCACACAUUUGGAGGAUAUUCAUCAUCCAAAUUCACAGAGGGUCACUCUUAUGGGCAGCUUUCAUGUCCUGUCUGUUCAGAACCCCUUCAUUUACUUUCUGUUUCAAAGGUUGUCUUCCUAUCAAGCACAUCAAUUUGUUUCCCCCCCUUUUUGUCAGCAAAAGGAAAGUAAGUGAGUCCUAUCCUGGGGGUUAAAGUAGGACACAUUCCAAGUGGAGAUAAGUUGCCAGUUCUUAAAAAUGGAAAGGGAUUAAUCACAGGCUGCUCAGAGAAACAAGGAAUUUCCCAUGAAGACCAGACAUUCUUUUGAGGGCAGCAAUUUUGAAAUCCACAUGCUAACAUAAUACUAAUGAUCCCUGUCAUCAGUGGGUCCAGAAAACUGAUCCAACAAUAGGUAGUUAAUUAGCAGUUUUGGAAAGCAAUCAAGGUAUUUGACAAAGUGCUCAGACUAUAAAACAGCUGGACCUAUGAUGCUCUAUGUGGUGGAGUCAGAUGUGAUCCAGAUCAGCUGACAGUGAAGCAACACAGGCUGCAAUUUGACUGUUCCCGGUUCUGACCACCAGGGGCAGUGACACAUUGGUGGUAGUUUUCUUGUUUGGCAACACCCCUGGCUUGAGAGUAAAAGAAUGAAAGCCCCCUUGAGCCUCUCUAGCACCAGCAACUCUGCAGCCCUGGCACCUGAAAGUGUCAGCACCACCUUUAAUAGCUAGAUAAAUGACAAUGAAAUUGCAGAUUUAUUUCCAAGAGAACAGUAAAACAAAACAAAAAUGCAAGUGUCAAAGGAAUCAUAUGCAACAUGAGGUAGUGAUGCUGCUAUUAUGAACUGCCAUUCUAUUAUUAUAUUCCAGUGGGCAUCAGGGCUUAUAGCUCCCUACUUCCUGGAAAUCUAGGGACUCAGCUGCAAUGCAAAUGUAAAGCCGGGGGGGGGGGGCUGGACUCCCCUUCUAGUUCUGGAUCUCCCUUCUAAUUCUGGGGUGCCAGACAUUGACUUAAGCAUACUAAAAUUUAAGCCAUGUUAAAAAAUAAGAUGUCCCAAGGGUGGUUGCUAUUCUAAGAACCCACCAGCCCUUUGGACAGAAUGAGCAUCUCUCUGUAGUUAAAAAGCUAAAGCUAAAGGACCCCUGGAUGGUUAAGUCCAGUCAAAAGCGACUGUGGGGUGUGGUGCUCAUCUCGCUUUCAGGCCGAGGGAGCUGGUGUUUGUCCACAGACAGCUUUCCAGGUCAUGUGGCCAGCAGGACUAAACCGCUUCUGGCUCAACGGGAUACCUUGACAGAAACCAGAGCGCACGGAAAUGCCAUUUACCUUCUCGCCACAGCGGUACCUAUUUAUUGACUUGCACUGGUGUGCUUUUGAACUGCUAUGUUGGCAGGAGCUGGGACAGAGUAACAGGAGCUCACCCCGUCACAGGGAUUUGAACUGCCAACCUUCUGAUUGGCAAGCCCAAAAGGCUCAGUGGUUUAGACCACAGCGCCACCCGCAUCUGUGGUGUCACCAGUCUGGUAAGUAGGCACAAUCCUACCAGAUACUGGCUAUUAAUCAUAUCCAACUUUCCUGCCAGUACCAUUCAGUCCCUGUUCUUUUUCUAGUUACGAUGAGCAGAGAAGACACUGCCUUCAGCCAUCUACCACAAACUGGGGAAAUGGCGGCUCAUCAUAGGAAUAGGAUCCCAAAGGUAAGGAGGAGUUUCAGGAGCUGAAGUGCAAAUUGAGAGAGGAAGACCAGUGGGUGAACAUCCUGGGAAGCAGAUGGGUGAGGAGGAGAAGAAGAAGAAGAGUUUGGAUUUGAUAUCCCGCCUUUCACUCCCUUUAAGGGGUCUUAAAGCGGCUAACAUUCUCCUCUCCCUUCCUCCCCCACAACAAACACUCUGUGCGGUGAGUGGGGCUGAGUGACUUCAGAGAAGUGUGAACAGCCCAAGGUCACCCAGCAGCUGCAUGUGGAGGAGCAGAGACGCGAACCUGGCUCCCCAGAUUACGAAUCCACCGCUCUUAACCACUACACCACACUGGCUCCCAGUGCACAGUAGUGCAGCGAGUACAAUCCUACCCGUAUACAUGAAACCCCCCCUCCAAGCUCCAUGAGACUUACUUCUAAGGAGUCCUUGUGUAGAGCUGCACUGCUGGUGUGUCCUUUGGGAGGUAUUUUGUUUUUAUCUUUUAAAAGCAACUGUGGGGGAAUUCAAAGCCAGACCACACUAUGAGUCUGUGGUCUUUAAUCUUUUCCAACAUGCCACAGCUCAAAUGAAAACCACCCUCAUCAACCCACGGGGGCUGCUAUUUGCGCCAGGAGGCAAUGGCAGCUUCUCUCUUGAUGCAAAUAGCUGCUUGGGGAGUGGAGUAUCCAGGACCCCUGGACAGCGAAGGGCCAUACAGCUCAGUGGUGGAGCAUCUGUUCUACAUGUGGAAGGUUCCAGGUUCAAUUCCUGGCAUCUCCAGGUAGGGCUGGGGAAAGGCUGCUGCCUCAAACCCUGGAAAGCCAUUGGCAGUUGGAUUAGACAGUGCUGAGCUGGAAGGACUGGUUGUCUGACAUGAUCCCAGGCAGAACCCUAUAUUCCCUAGGCACAGGGGUAAAGGUCAAUAAAAAGCUUCCCUUCUCUCUACAGCCCCAGUCUUGACCCAUCACACAGAUAUUGGAGGCGCUCCUCAGACCAUCACUAUGUUCAGGUAGGACUCAACUCUUUCCCCACAAACUGAAGGUUGCACAAUUAAAGCUGGCUUGGACUUCCUGCACAACAAACCAGCUUCUCCAAAAGAUCAGACCUUACUUCUUCUGUUCUUUUGCCAUAAGGAAAACUAAUGGAAAAUGCACCAGAAAGUGUGGGGAAACCCUUGCUUGCCACAACAACCCUCCAAACUCCCUGCAAACAAAUCAGGAAACAAUUCAAGAAACAGGUUGCCUGGAAGCGCCUUGGGGAUGCUAUUCACAAAAAACCAAACCAAACCAACAAAGAAAAAACAGGCACAGCCAAACUACGCAUUUAACGCGAAGCUUCGCCUGAGCUUGAGUUUCACAAGCUCUCUGCUGCAUCAGAGGUGAAUUCCCCAAGUGCUUGAAAAUUCCCAGGCUGGUUCCCACUGGCCAUCAUAGCUGGACAGGAAGCCCUACAAGACCCCAAUGUAGUCCCAUUAUAUAUAUAAUCCAUUUCUUGUGGUAAUUGCUUGAGGCAGCUCUAGUGGCUGGAAGCACCAUGGGAAGUGAGAUGAGAGAGAGAGGACGUGAUCUCAGCCAGCAGAGCCUACCAGCAGCCCCUUCUGCCAAAGCUUCCCUUCUCCCAGGCUGGGGCCCCACCUCACUCAGCUCAUUCCCAUUCAGAGCAGUGGUGCCCAUGGCUCUCCCUUCUGCCGUCCUACUGAGUGCCUCUUCUGCCGCACCGGACACCUUCUCCCAGCCCUCAGCUUUGGCCUAGAAACCAGCUGGUGCCAAACGUCUGCUUGGCAUUGCUUCAGCUUAGGAGCCAGGAAACCAGACACAGUUUAUAACACCUCAGAGUGCAGUGGAAGGAAGAUACGUUCUCCACCGCAGGACUCCAAAUAAGGAGCAGAAACCUUCUCUGGUUGCGUCCAGACCAGCAAGGGGUGCUGGCUGACCAGACCAAAACUGGUCCAGCAAAUCUUUUGUUUUCUAAAUGUCCAGGCUAGUUGCCAGGGGUUUUGCAUCAAAGCCCACAGUGCUGUUUUGCUUUCGGAGAUUGUUUGGGGCUUAAAAUCAGCACCAGUAUUGUUACUGAGUGUUUGUGCUUGAAUUGUACAGAAGAAGGAAGACUGAGAUCUAUUGGGAGAUCUCUGUGCCUGGAAUAAAUCUAAAAGGUGCAAAAAAGUAAAUCAACCAUUUUUAAUAACAUAGAUAUGGAAGGAUUUGAAAAGUUUACAAUAAAUCUCUGACCUACGGAAUAUGCAGUAAUGACCAACCAUUGCAUGUGACUUCACAACACUGAAAAGCAGUGUGCAUAAUAUCACAUCAGUGUAUUCUAAAAUAUAUAGCUGUAUCUAGAAUACAUUGAUGCGAUGAUACACAGUGUCUGAAUCAUUCUUUGUUAAAUUUUCAAAUCCCACUGUAUCUUAUAAGAUACAUUUUAUAAGUAUGUGAUAAGAAAGAAUUAUGUUCAUUUAGUUCCUUGGCUUUAUUUACUCUUUUGUAUCUAUUGAUUGUUCAGGGAAUAUUCUCUAGGUUUGCUUUUGCAGUAGAUCUGCAAGGAUUCCUGACUCCUAUUCAUUUCUCCAACAACUUUCCCUCACCUAAAUCACACUGCUAAAAUAAAGAGUGUGAACCAAGAGGAAUGGACCUCCUUUGUGUUAAAGGGCUGCAAAUUCAGAUCCGUUCUGCCAGAUCCGUUCUCACCCCGUUUCUUCCCUUCUGCUGCACUUUAUCUUCUAUCUAUUAAAUCAGAACCAUUAUAUUAUAAUCUAAUUAUUUCUGUUACUCACAGCUCCAAUCCUGCUCAUGAUGUAUGGUGGCAUCUCUAGAAAGCAGAGGGGGUUACUAUUUUUGUCAUACCAUCAAAUUUGUGCACAGCUGGGCAGGAUGCAGCCUCUCUGCACAUGGUUAGAUUUGCGGCACCACACGCAGCACCCAGAGGAGCGCAAGCAGGAUCUCAUUCGUGUGCUCAGUGGACACAUGCAGGCAAUGAAUAAAGUCAUUUAGCUCAGUACUGCCUACACUGACUGGCAGCAGACCUCAAGGCUUCCAGACAUUCCCAGCCCUGCCUGGGGAUGCUGUGGGUUGAACCCAGCCCUUCUGCUCACAAGGCAGAUGCUCUGCCACUCAGUCCUGCCCUGCUGCUCCCUGGCCAUAUUACCUGCCCUGGGUAAGGAUGUCUCAGCUCUGUCUGCUAUGUUGAUGCCCAAUGAGAGCCACAGAGGGCUUAUCAAACUUACCUUUUGCCCCACUUAUAAGCUCUGUAUCCAAGCAUGGUUGGUUUUUUGUUUCGUUUUGUUUUUGUCCUGGAGCUUUCCCCACAAAAACCCACUUAAUUGGAGCAGACGCCAAUUUGGGUUUUUAAGCUGAUUGCUGUUUGCUCCAAUUGAGCUGGAAUGAGAAGGUUUUUGUGGGGAAAGCUCUAGAGAAAAGGAAAAGCGCUUGGACACAGAGCUUUAAAGCACGGAUCCUGCCGGGAAAGAGCAGAGGAAAGGCAGGAGAGCUGCAGAUAAAAGGCCAGUGGGGAUGGGAGCCAAAGGGGCAGGAGCUCAGAGGCCUGUUUGGAGAGCCACCCACACCCCGCAUGUAGUGCAUGUGGCUUUCCCACAAAGACUCAUGGGAACAGUAGUUUGCUAAGGGUGCUGGGAAUUGUAGCUGAGUGAGGGGUAAACUACGCUUCCCAGGAUUAUUUGGUGAGGGGCGGGGGAGGAGCCAUGACUGUUAAAGUGCAAUAAAUCUGCUUAAAACAGUGCAGUGCCGGGUAUUGUGAGAGGCUCCUGGCUCCUGCCAUGCUCUCUGCCAUGCCUCCUUCCAUCAUCCCUGCUCCUUUCAGGGUGGUGAUGCUCAGUGCCAGUCUGUUGGUGGUGCCUGCUGGCCUCUGCGCUCAAGUGCAGUAUUGGCUGGGGAAGGAAUUUGGGGUGGGGAGGGGGGAGAUGGGCAGCCUUCCAGCAGACAGAAGGUUCACAGCUGGGGCAGCCAGGAUUCCAGAGAAAAGGUGGUGAGGGAAUGAAUCUGCUUCGACAAAACUUGGGUUGCUGUGUCACAACAACAUCCCAUCUGACCCAAGCAAGCAGACCAGAGAGGAGCCCACACAAGCAGAAAUACAUACACAAAAGCCGCACUGAUUAUCUUCCCCUCUGCGCCAUUAUCCCAUAUUUGGCAUCCCUGGCCCCAUUCCCAAAGUGACGCCAUCCUCUGGUGCAUCACCCCAUCUCCAAAUCCCAGCCCCCGUACUUCCCUUGUCUCAGCCUCUCUGUUGCAACUCUGACCUUCCCACCCAAAUAUGCCCACGCACGCACACACAGGAGCCUAGGCAGGCUCUCUGGCUCUCCCUCUCCCUCUCUCUGAGGGUGAGACAGGCAUGUGGUUCCAACUAAGGCCUGGCUCUCAGCCCAGCCUGGUUUCCCCACUUAGCCAAAGCUCUGGCUCUUCACUCCCCCACCAAUCCUGGGCAACAGUUUCCAGGAAUAAUGGAGCAUUCAGGAAAAGGGAAAGUGGAUCGCCCCCAUACAAUAAACACACUCACAGACUGUUUCACUCUGUUUCCCCAAGGACAGCUGCUCCCCCAUCCCUCCAUCAAAGUGGAAUGAGUUUAUUUAACACUCCACAGGGCUGCAAACAGCCACCUCUGCUUUCUUCUCUCUAACCUCACUGCCCACCGGUAGCCAAGAUUAGGACCUGGGAUUCCUAGGUUUGGACCCAGCCAGGGCCAGCCCACGCAGAAGGCAAGAAUAGAAGUCAAGGGGAGCUCUGAAACUCCAGUCCCACCCUGUGACUUACUCUAUGGAUUUGGGAUUUCUAUCCUGCUUUUUAACCCUGUCCCUACUCACAAGGGGAAGGCUCAGCAUUAGAAUGGCAUGCUCUGUGUGCAAAAGGUAUUGGAUUCAAUCCUUGGCCCUCUGAGGCCCCAUCCUCAAACUACGCUUAAAGUAGUAUCACACCACUUUAAACAGUCAUGGCUUUCCCCAAAGAAUUCUGGGAACUGUAGUCUAUUAAGGGUGCUAAGAAGUGUUAGGAGACCCUAUCGUGCUGUUACAGAUGCACCAUGGCAUUUCAUCUCUCAGUACUCCUCGCAGCGGUCAUUUUUCCUCUGGUCACUGCUGUGGAUGCACAACCUGACUGUUUCCAGACACUGUGGUCAUCUGCAAGGAAUUCCCAUAUUGCAGGACUAAUGUUGCCAGCCUUUGUGUCACGUUUGCAGACAUCUUUUUAACACAGUAGGCCUGGUGCCUGAAGCCAGCUCCCCAAAAAGCACAUCCUUUGAGAUCCCGCCACCUUCCAUUCUGUGAGCAUGACCAAGCCAGUGUAGACAUUGCAAACAUGCUGGGAAUGCGGGCUUCAUAGAGCAGAUCUUUGAUUCAAACUUUGUUUGUUUCAAACUUUGUUUGCUGGCAUCUUGUACGCCUCCUUCUGGCAACCCCUGCAGCCAAGCUGGUGCCCAACAUCUUACUCUGCUUUCCUUUGGACCACAUCAGUGAGGCCAAGAGGGGAGUAUUAUCCUCUGAGCAGCCCAGAACCGCCAUACACACUGCCAGAGCUUGGACCCCGGGGAGAUCACUGUGGUUUUGCUAACACUCUAGUUUGAUUUCACUCCCAUUGUCUUUUGAGACAGACGGAUGCCAACGUGUGUGUGUGUGUGUGUGUGUGUGUGUGUGUGUGUGUCUAUGGUUUAGCUGUUAUUUUAUCUGUCAGCCACUUGGAGUCCUUGCCAGGAGAAAAAGGCUGGGUAUAAAUAAUAAAACAACAACAACAACAACGGGAUCUCAUGACAACUCUCAGCACCCUUAACAAACUACAUUUCUCAGGAGUCUUUGGUGGAAAUCAUGACUGUUAGAAGUGGUAUGAUCCUGCUUAUAAUGCAGGUGGGGCCCAAGUUAUAAAUAUUAGGAAGCCGGUGAUGGGAAAGACCCCUUCUGUGCCUGACAGCCCCUUUCAUCAGAGGUGGCACUGAUUAACUAACAGUCUGCUCUAUCUGCUUUUCACUCACAGAGCUGGAGGAGAACACUCUAACCUUGGUUCCCAGCACCACCAUGUACUGAUUGAACUUACUGUAUCACACACUUACUCAGAAGUACACCCUGAUGAGUUCAGUGGAAAUGCCUUGCUUAAGCACAUGCCAGAUUGGAGACUUAAGCCAACAUACACCCUGAACCGUCAAAAUAAGAGCUAAGUCUAUUCCAUAGACCAGCAAGUUUGAGAAACUUAUUGUGUCCUGACAUUUAUUUUUAAAUCAAGUUUCUAGCUCUCAUUCGUCAUUGAGAAAUGUCUGGAAAUGUGCAGGCAAUGGUUAAUGGCCUGACUCUAUGAGCCAUUGCAAUUAUGUAGUCAUUCAAAGGAUAGGGCUUAAGAGCAAAGCCUUCACAUUGCAUUUGCUGGGAUCUCUCCCCACCACUCAGGAUAGCAGAUCAGACAUUUUAACGCAGAUUCUGAAUAGUACAGCUCAGCGCCGGAUUUGGGGCAGGGUGGAAGAGGCAGCCUCGUGGUUGGAGCGGGCACAGCUCCAGUCGCUGCUUCCUCCUCCCACUCUCUCAGGGUUGCUGCUGCAGCCAGAAGACCCGCUUUUCCAGACCAGGCUCAGGUUGCACUUGGGGGAGGUUCUGAUCCAGGGGUGCUUCCAGAGGCAAGAGAAUAGAGGAGCCACAGGAUUCAGCCAGGGUGGGCUCCCCCAACACCACGCAUCCUCUCGUGCAUCCUAGGCACAUCGGGGCUGAAGGAGUCCCGUGGUGUCUCCGUAUGGACCCUGCGCUUGCUAGGCUCUGGGAGGCUCUCGCAAGAUCUCACAAAGCCAUCUGAGUUCCUGUGAGAUCUCACCAAAGCCCAUGCAAGGGUCUCCCAGAGCUCAGGAUACAAGGUGGAGAGCUUCAAAGCUCUCUGCUUUGCUUGGCAGGGAGAGCUAAGACCCAUUCAGCGCACCAGCUCCAGAAGGUCAGAUUGCUUGCAUGGGGCAGUUCCAAUGGCAGCUUGACUACACGUGGUUUUGGAUCGAUGCACCUCCCCAGAAGGCAACCCCCCCCCCCAAGAUGCAGGUUGCCAGUCUACCAAAAGACACAGAGAGCUAGUUUAUACUGCCAGCGGAAUCGAGUCUCUGCUGUCAGUAGAAUCAAUCAUAUGCUGGGACUGGAUCACAUCAAGCUGAAGGGGGGCAGAGGACCGCAUGUUUGAAACUUCCCUAGGGGAGGAAGGAAGUUUCCUCCAUGAAGAAAAGAACUACUUCAGGGAAAUGAGCAAUGCUUUCUUGCUGGCAUGCUAAGAUUGGGAAGUUGAUUGGGGUGGGAGAAGUGUUCCAAUAUUCAACCCCCAUCCACCUUUUUCCUGAGGUGAUACAAUCCCAGAAAAGCUUUCCCACUUAAUCCUAUCAAAUGUACAUGCUAACCCUCUGAAGGUGUUUUUCACCGAUGCUCAGGAUGUGACUGAUGCGCAGGUCCACUUGAGAGGGCGGUACAGGAGGCACUGGUAUGCCAGGCUCACAGAGAACAAGGGUCCCUACCCUGACCUUUCAUGGGGAGGGGGAGUCUCUAGUCCACCGAGAAUGAAAGUUAUGAAGCAAAAUGUGCAGGCAACUUUCUAAGUGAUUUCUGUGAGAUAAGACUGCCUGGCUGCUCCUGCCUACCAGUGUUUUUAGCUAACAAGUGCUAAGUGAGUUGUUUCAACACCAGGCAAUAGGAAGCCCUGGGUCCUAAAGAGCUGCUGUAUUCCCCUCCCCUUAGGUGCACUUUUACUGCUUUGGUCUCAUUUUCUAAUCCUUGGUAUCCACACAGCUUAACCUUCUACAGAAUGGCUGGGGAAACCCAGCCCGAUGGGCGGAGUAUAAAUAAAUAAAUAUAAUAAUAAUAAUAAUAAUAAUAAUAAUAAUAAUAAUUUACAAGCAACCAUGAUGCAUCUUUCCUGUGGCAGGUUCAUUGAGCUCAGGGAUUCCCUAGAAGUUAUUUUAUGCAAAUACUACUAGAGAAUAAGUGUGCUAGAGGGCUUCAAGAAUCCAUCCUGCAAAAAAAAAUAUGCAAAUAAAAAGCAUGAAAACUUUGCAAAGAAGCUUAAGCGUGUCUCUUGCUGUGCAGGAGCUAAAGACCAGGCACCCAUUAACUGACAAGACAAUGGUAUAUGUGUCUGUACACAGCUGUAAGUCUCUUUGUCUUAAUGGGGCUUACUCCCAGAUAAGUGAACACUGCAUUUCAGCCUAGACUCUGGUUUAUGGUUAUCAUUGGGGGAAAACAGGAUUCUUGUGCCUUUAACAGCUGUGCAGCAGGCAGAAAAAGACAGCAUACAUUUGCAUAUGACCCAAAGCAUACACUGAUUUUAUGCAAAUCUGAGUCCUCUUUCGCAAGUGAGUCAGAAGGCUCAAUCUAUCUACAGCGUACUGGAUCCAGAAGAUCCUGUUGGAAGGCAGCUGUGCUCACCACUAUACCAGGGCUUCUGGUUCCUGUCUGUCUUAAUGGAGGCACCUCCCACAACAGUGGGAGAUUGUUGGUGAAGAAAAAACAAAGAUGAUUGAGGGUAAUUAUCCUUGAAAAUUUUCCUCCAGGGGGAAUGGGCUUCACUUGCAGAUCCUCUCGGUACCUGGCUCUCGCUCCAGCAUGGAAUGCAAGAGGCAGGGAGGCGCUGAGUGCAAAAGCACUUCGCCUGUUGAUAACCCUCCUACGCUGCCAUUAAGAAGCAGAGGUUCUUCUAUUCAUUAGAUUUUAAUUUGGACUAAUGUACAGACGUGUGCUGGAAAAGAUGAGACCAAAAACUGCACAAUCGAAACAGCUGCAAGGUUGUUAAGUUUUGAACUUGGAAAAAUGAUUUCAUUUGGUGUAAAAGACGGUUGGCGGGGAGGGGGGCCUUUGGCUUCUUUACACUUUGAUUUUUUAUAUUUAUGAUUCGGCAACCCUCCCCUGAAAUACAUGGAUGUACAUUUACUUUGCUAAGUUUGAAGCUGAAAUUAUGGAAGUACAGGUGGCAAUGGUGAAAAAUUGAUUGCAGAUAUGAAAUAUAAAAUCAAAUGGAACUGUGUGUGUAAAGAAAAAAGGGGGGAAGGGAGAGAAGCUUUAUUUUUCAAAGGUUUAUGAGGGAAACUCAGAGCGGACUCUUCCCUACUUUUUAUCAUCCUCAGACUGAACUGAAUAAUGCUAAAAUGUUUUGGAAUUGAAUUUAAUUGGAUCUGUAACUGCUUGUCAGCUGAACGGAGAGAUAAGAGGGGGCUGCAAGCUUGCCAAAGAAGGUUCAUUACUGAGUUACUUGAAAUUUGAUAGCUGGCUCUCCUCUCCUCCCCAGGCUGAGAGAAAACAGUAUAUUUUUGCAGCUGAUGCUUGAGUUGCAAAACAAUGAGGCUUGGAACAGUGCAAUGGAGAACUUAUGAAACAGCAAUGGAAUACUAGCUCCGCUCAAGGUAUGAUGGAGAACAGCAACAAGUGACAAAAGAUAGAGAAAAUACAGUACAAGGACGGGAAGAAACAGCACGGACAGAAAAAUAG
Molecule: non-coding RNA, 28138 nt
Organism: Podarcis lilfordi (Lilford's wall lizard)
Lineage: Eukaryota; Metazoa; Chordata; Lepidosauria; Squamata; Lacertidae
Source: the annotation of a GenBank genome assembly